This 226-nucleotide ribosomal RNA is filed under the name uncultured bacterium. RNAcentral's name for it is "partial 16S ribosomal RNA". It matches the Rfam family "Bacterial small subunit ribosomal RNA", at positions 538 to 763 of the family's 1533-position model. The record is from RNAcentral.
GCGUUGCUCGGAAUUACUGGGCGUAAAGGGCGCGUAGGCGGACAGUUUAGUCAGAGGUGAAAGCCCAGGGCUCAACCUUGGAAUUGCCUUUGAUACUGGCUGUCUUGAGUACGGGAGAGGUGUGUGGAACUCCGAGUGUAGAGGUGAAAUUCGUAGAUAUUCGGAAGAACACCGGUGGCGAAGGCGACACACUGGCCCGUUACUGACGCUGAGGCGCGAAAGCGUG